This 214-nucleotide ribosomal RNA is filed under the name uncultured Anaerolineaceae bacterium. RNAcentral describes it as "partial 16S ribosomal RNA". It matches the Rfam family "Bacterial small subunit ribosomal RNA", at positions 1168 to 1382 of the family's 1533-position model. The record is from RNAcentral. Lineage: Bacteria; Bacillati; Chloroflexota; Anaerolineae; Anaerolineales; Anaerolineaceae.
GGAAGUGGGGAGUGACGUCAAGUCAGCAUGGCCUUUAUAUCCUGGGCUACACACACGCUACAAUGGAAGGGACAAUAGGUUGCGAAGCCGCGAGGCGGAGCCAAUCCAGCAAACUUCCUCAGUUCAGAUUGCAGGCUGCAACUCGCCUGCAUGAAGUUGGAGUUGCUAGUAAACGCAGGUCAGCCAUACUGCGUUGAAUACGUUCCCGGGCCUU